GAGCCAUUAGCUCAGCUUGGUUAGAGCGCACGGCUGAUAACCGUGAGGUCGCCAGUUCGAAUCUGGCAUGGCUCA
Molecule: transfer RNA, 75 nt
Filed under: Methanobacteriota archaeon
Lineage: Archaea; Methanobacteriati; Methanobacteriota
Description: Euryarchaeota archaeon tRNA-Ile
Rfam family: tRNA
About the family: Transfer RNA (tRNA) molecules are approximately 80 nucleotides in length.
Source: RNAcentral